This 838-nucleotide ribosomal RNA is filed under the name uncultured Gammaproteobacteria bacterium. RNAcentral describes it as "bacterial SSU rRNA". It matches the Rfam family "Bacterial small subunit ribosomal RNA", at positions 69 to 902 of the family's 1533-position model. The record is from RNAcentral. Lineage: Bacteria; Pseudomonadati; Pseudomonadota; Gammaproteobacteria.
AGAAAGUAUCUUCGGAUAUGAUUAGAGCGGCGGACGGGUGAGUAACGCGUAGGAAUCUACCUAGUAGAAGGGGAUAGCCCGAGGAAACUCGGAUUAAUACCGUAUACCUCCUCCGGGAGAAAGAAGGCCUCUCUUUGAAGCUUUCGCUACUAGAUGAGCCUGCGUAAGAUUAGCUUGUUGGUGAGGUAAAGGCUCACCAAGGCUACGAUCUUUAGCGGGUCUGAGAGGACGAUCCGCCACAUUGGGACUGAGACACGGCCCAGACUCCUACGGGAGGCAGCAGUGGGGAAUAUUGGACAAUGGGCGAAAGCCUGAUCCAGCCAUACCGCGUGUGUGAAGAAGGCCUUAGGGUUGUAAAGCACUUUAAGUUGGGAAGAAAGGUUAUUGGCUAAUACCCAAUAACUGUGACAUUACCAUCAGAAUAAGGACCGGCUAAUUCCGUGCCAGCAGCCGCGGUAAUACGGAAGGUCCAAGCGUUAAUCGGAAUUACUGGGCGUAAAGCGCGCGUAGGUGGUUUAUUAAGUUGGAUGUGAAAGCCCCGGGCUCAACCUGGGGACUGCAUCCAAAACUGAUUCACUAGAGUACGAUAGAGGGAGGUAGAAUUCACAGUGUAGCGGUGGAAUGCGUAGAUAUUGUGAAGAAUACCAAUGGCGAAGGCAGCCUCCUGGAUCUGUACUGACACUGAGGUGCGAAAGCGUGGGUAGCGAACAGGAUUAGAUACCCUGGUAGUCCACGCCGUAAACGAUGUCAACUAGCUGUUGGAAAGCAUUGCUUUUCAGUGGCGCAGCUAACGUAGUAAGUUGACCGCCUGGGGAGUACGGCCGCAAGGUUAAAACUC